AUUGAACGCUGGCGGCAUGCUUUACACAUGCAAGUCGAACGGCAGCGCGGGCUUCGGCCUGGCGGCGAGUGGCGAACGGGUGAGUAAUGCAUCGGAACGUGCCCAGUAGUGGGGGAUAGCCCGGCGAAAGCCGGAUUAAUACCGCAUACGACCUGAGGGUGAAAGCGGGGGACCGAAAGGCCUCGCGCUAUUGGAGCGGCCGAUGUCGGAUUAGCUAGUUGGUGGGGUAAAGGCUUACCAAGGCGACGAUCCGUAGCUGGUCUGAGAGGACGACCAGCCACACUGGGACUGAGACACGGCCCAGACUCCUACGGGAGGCAGCAGUGGGGAAUUUUGGACAAUGGGGGCAACCCUGAUCCAGCCAUGCCGCGUGCGGGAAGAAGGCCUUCGGGUUGUAAACCGCUUUUGUUCGGGAAGAAAUCCUCUGGGCUAAUACCCCGGGGGGAUGACGGUACCGGAAGAAUAAGCACCAGCUAACUACGUG
Molecule: ribosomal RNA, 484 nt
Filed under: uncultured bacterium
Lineage: Bacteria
Description: partial 16S ribosomal RNA
Rfam family: Bacterial small subunit ribosomal RNA
Source: RNAcentral